GGUUCAUUCAAAUUUCUGCCCUAUCAACUUUCGAUGGUAGGAUAGUGGCCUACCAUGGUUUCAACGGGUAACGGGGAAUUAGGGUUCUAUUCUGGAGAAGGAGCCUGAGAAACGGCUACUACAUCCAAGGAAGGCAGCAGGCGCGCAAAUUACCCAAUCCCGACCGGGGAGGUAGUGACAAUAAAUACUGAUACAGGGCUCUUUUGAGUCUUGUAAUUGGAAUGAGUACAAUUUAAAUCCCUUAACGAGGAACAAUUGGAGGGCAAGUCUGGUGCCAGCAGCCGCGGUAAUUCCAGCUCCAAUAGCGUAUAUUAAAGUUGUUGCAGUUAAAAAGCUCGUAGUUG
Molecule: ribosomal RNA, 344 nt
Filed under: uncultured fungus
Lineage: Eukaryota; Fungi
Description: SSU rRNA
Rfam family: Eukaryotic small subunit ribosomal RNA
Source: RNAcentral